RNAcentral lists this ribosomal RNA (253 nucleotides) under uncultured bacterium. RNAcentral's name for it is "partial 16S ribosomal RNA". It matches the Rfam family "Bacterial small subunit ribosomal RNA", at positions 524 to 776 of the family's 1533-position model. The record is from RNAcentral.
UACGUAGGGCGCAAGCGUUGUCCGGAAUUAUUGGGCGUAAAGAGCUCGUAGGCGGUUUGUCGCGUCUGCUGUGGAAACUCGAGGCUCAACCUCGGGCUUGCAGUGGGUACAGGCAGACUAGAGUGCGGUAGGGGUGACUGGAAUUCCUGGUGUAGCGGUGGAAUGCGCAGAUAUCAGGAGGAACACCGAUGGCGAAGGCAGGUCACUGGGCCGCAACUGACGCUGAGGAGCGAAAGCAUGGGGAGCGAACAGG